GCUGGGUGCUGAUCAGCAAAUGGUGCCCGAAUGUGAGGGUCAUAAUCGGCUUCAGCUGAUU
RNAcentral lists this small nucleolar RNA (61 nucleotides) under Aotus nancymaae (Ma's night monkey). RNAcentral describes it as "Small nucleolar RNA SNORD44 (ENSANAG00000004703.1)". It matches the Rfam family "Small nucleolar RNA SNORD44". From Rfam's summary of the family: U44 belongs to the C/D class of snoRNA which contain the C (UGAUGA) and D (CUGA) box motifs. The record is from Rfam by way of RNAcentral. Lineage: Eukaryota; Metazoa; Chordata; Mammalia; Primates; Aotidae.